GAUGAACGCUAGCUACAGGCUUAACACAUGCAAGUCGAGGGGUAACAAGAGAAAAGCUUGCUUUUCUUGUUGACGACCGGCGCACGGGUGAGUAACGCGUAUCCAACCUGCCUAUAACUAGGGAAUAACCUUGCGAAAGUAAGACUAAUACCCUAUGAUUUCCUUUGAUGACAUCAGAUUAGGAAUAAAGAUUUAUCGGUUAUAGAUGGGGAUGCGUCUGAUUAGCUUGUUGGCGGGGUAACGGCCCACCAAGGCAACGAUCAGUAGGGGUUCUGAGAGGAAGGUCCCCCACAUUGGAACUGGGACACGGUCCAAACUCCUACGGGAGGCAGCAGUGAGGAAUAUUGGUCAAUGGGCGGAAGCCUGAACCAGCCAAGUAGCGUGCAGGAUGACGGCCCUAUGGGUUGUAAACUGCUUUUAUACAGGAAUAAAGUUAGGCACGUGUGGUUAUUUGUAGGUACUGUAUGAAUAAGGACCGGCUAAUUCCGUGCCAGCAGCCGCCGUAA
This 506-nucleotide ribosomal RNA is filed under the name uncultured bacterium. RNAcentral's name for it is "partial 16S ribosomal RNA". It matches the Rfam family "Bacterial small subunit ribosomal RNA", at positions 28 to 523 of the family's 1533-position model. The record is from RNAcentral.